RNAcentral lists this unclassified non-coding RNA (345 nucleotides) under soil metagenome. Its description in RNAcentral is "partial contains 5.8S ribosomal RNA, internal transcribed spacer 2, and large subunit ribosomal RNA". The stretch from base 1 to 120 matches the Rfam family "5.8S ribosomal RNA", at positions 35 to 154 of the family's 154-position model. The record is from RNAcentral.
GAUGAAGAACGUAGCGAAAUGCGAUACGUAAUGUGAAUUGCAGAAUUCAGUGAAUCAUCGAGUCUUUGAACGCACAUUGCGCCCCCUGGUAUUCCGGGGGGCAUGCCUGUCCGAGCGUCAUUGCUGCCCUCAAGCACGGCUUGUGUUUUGGGCCUCCGUCCUCCUCCCGGGGGACGGGCCCGAAAGGCAGCGGCGGCACCGCGUCCGGUCCUCGAGCGUAUGGGGCUUCGUCACCCGCUCUUGUAGGCCCGGCCGGCGCUUGCCGACACAUCAAUCUUUUUUCCAGGUUGACCUCGGAUCAGGUAGGGAUACCCGCUGAACUUAAGCAUAUCAAUAAGCGGAGGA